GUCACAUGCGACCACACACUGUAUGAUUCCAUUUACGUGAAAUGUUCACAAUAGAUCCAGAGAGACAGAAAGACUAGUGGUUGCCUAGGACUGGGGGAUUUCAGGGGAAAUGAGGGAGUCACUGCUAAUGGGUGCAGGUUUUUCUUUUGGGGGUGAUGAAAAUGUCCUAAAAUUGAUUAUCAUGAUGGUUGCACAACUCUGUGAAUAUACAAAAAAGCCGUUGAAUUGUUCACUUAAAUGGGUGAAUGUGAAUUAUAUCUUAAUAAAGCAGUUAUAAAAAAAAAUAGGGAGAGACUAUACUCAAAGCAACUCAGCAAGAAUCAGACACAUAAUGAAACAAGAAAGUAAAGGCCAGGGCCUCUGAGCAGAGACUGGGUGACCUUACCCAAGUUGUUUGCUGUAGAAUCCUCGUGGGGGGAGUCUGAGACCCGGAACCCACCAUGGCCCCAUGGUAGGUCAGGAGCUGUCAUUGACCAUCUCGCAGUGUAACUGCUCGUCUCACCUUUUCCUGGGGAGCAUUUGAUUUCUGCAGACACCUCCCCUCCACACGUGUAGGCACACGCAGCUCCUUCCGUGUCACUGGCCUCUGAGCCUCACACUUGUGUUGCAAAGCCUUUUAUUUUUAGUCCAGACGUUACUGUAACUGGGGCAACGGGAGCGCCUUAGGCCAGUACGCCUUCAGCAACAGGUGCUUUUGUACCCGGUGGCCCCUGCCACCAGAUCAUCCUCUUGACACUGGAUGAACACCUGUUGGCCUUCAAUGGGGCCGGCUCACAGGGUUCCUGAGAACUGUUUGCCUCCCAGGUUGCGCAGAAAACAGCACAAAGGUGGGGAAAGUGGGAGCUCCUCCAUCCUCUCUACAACCAGUGCCAUCUGCUGGCAAAACGGCAGCGCAGGGAAUGUGGCGGAUUCUCCAGCUUGCCUGUCCUUCCCUGCCUUGGAACCUGUGUUCCAUUGCACAGCGGGUAAUGUUCAUCCCUUAGUUCAGUUCUCUUAGGCCUGAGUUAAAAUUAGGCCGGAUUCUUACACUGGGACCCAUAAGGAAAAGGGCACACGUCUUAAGUAUUGAGCCCGAUGCAUUUUCAUAUACCUCGCUCCUUAGGGCAACCAGCACCAGGUCAAGCCACAGAGCGUGAUUAUCCCCAGCAACCUCCUCUGUGCCCCCUUCCACUCACUGUCCCCCCAUGAGAAAGUUACCAGCCUGACUGCUAAGAAUAGAUUCGUUUUGCCUGGUUUUGUAUCUUCUAUUACAAGGUUGAGCCAGCUGGAGCAUCCUGUGUGCAGUUUUGUAAUGCAGCACUCCAGGUGACUAAAGGGGUUCUGCCCACUGGAGCAGAGCUGAGCAUCACUGGGGUACCACUGUCCUCCCACAGUCCUCUCCCUCCUCAUUAACCUCCUCCGCCCAUCAGGAUGAUCCAUCAUUGGCCUGAAAGCCUCAAACAAAAUCGUGUGAUCAUUUUGGGAGAUGCAGCUAACAUCACUGAGCGCUUACUCUGUGCCAGGCACCAGGAUAAGCACUUUACCCACACACCUCUCUUCUUUCCCACAAGGAGCCUAUGCUCAUUUACCUUAAGCUGAGCAGAGAGUGUAAUGUGCUCAGAGUUGCAGAGCCAGUGGCCGGCAGACCCCAGCUUUUGUGACUCUACACUGGUGGUCUCCUCACCCCUCAAGCUGCCCUCUAGAGAUGGUGCGAGCCAGCACAAAUGAGGUUCCCAGACCGUUGAUACAGAAAAGUGCUCUUAUCAGGAGUGUGCAGUGUGACGCAUUUUCAUAAAGUGAACACACCGAUGUACCCCCUUCCCAGUAGCCUGCCUUCAGGCUCCCUUCUAAGUAUGAGGUCCCCCCAGGGUCACCACGCUCCUGACUUCUAGCAGCAAAGGUUAGUUUUCUCUGUUUUUGGACUUUUUAUAGAAAUGGUUUCAUACAGUAUGAACUCUUUUAUAUAUGACUUGUUUUGCUCAAUUUUCUAUACAUGGGUCAUCU
Long non-coding RNA from Equus asinus (donkey), 1983 nucleotides. Lineage: Eukaryota; Metazoa; Chordata; Mammalia; Perissodactyla; Equidae. The record is from Ensembl.